UGCUGUGUAUGAUGAGAAAAUUUUCCAAAUCAGUUAUCCCUGGCUGAUUUUCGUUAUGAUGAUAUCUUGUAAUCUGACACAGAC
RNAcentral lists this small nucleolar RNA (84 nucleotides) under Theobroma cacao (cacao). RNAcentral describes it as "Small nucleolar RNA R38". It matches the Rfam family "Small nucleolar RNA R38". From Rfam's summary of the family: snoR38 is a C/D box small nucleolar RNA conserved across yeast, human, Arabidopsis and rice. It is encoded in the intron of elongation factor-1 gamma in both pombe and cerevisiae. snoR38 guides the methylation of 2'-O-ribose sites in 28S rRNA. Lineage: Eukaryota; Viridiplantae; Streptophyta; Magnoliopsida; Malvales; Malvaceae. The record is from Rfam by way of RNAcentral.